GACAGACAACAACGGUUUGACCUAAAAAUAUCAAAAUUGAAACUACUGUGAAAACAAAGACACCUACAUCUUGGAUGCCCUUGAGGUAAGAAAAAACACACCAAAAAUUAAUUUCAAAGUGAACUAUCCCUUUAAGUUCAUCCACAAAUUGUUUCAUUUCGUUCCCUUUUUUAGGCAAAUCCGAUAUGUAAGAUAAUCUGAUUUUCUCAACUCUGAUUGAAAAAAGCAUCUAAACUGGUUCAUUGCAGGCAACGUCUUUUGUUCUUGUAAUUUUCCAAGGAGGAUGUGUUUGAGUGUGUUCAUUUAAAGGCCCUAUGUGAAUAUCUGCACACAUUGUUUUCUUGUGCUCAAGCCUCACGAUGGUGUACAAAUGUCUUGACGUGUCGUCACUGUCAACCCUGAUCGCUUUUAAGCUUUUAACAGGGUUUCAAACACAAACCUGAGUGUGUGAGAGUGUUUGUUGAGGGAGUGUAGUCAUGAACGGGGUGUGUGGGAGCGAGAGAGUGCUUGUUUUCAUCAUUAAACACAAGGGUCAUUGUCAGGGGUCUUUGUUGGCCUGGGGAUCUGCCCUCUGCUAUAUUUAUUGUUGGUAACGUAGGAGCUGUCAUGUCUAAUUGGGAACUACGGGAUAAAUGUAUUUGGGCAGUUUAAUAGAAUCAAGUCUCUUAAUAAAAGAAUUAAUAACAAGAUCCUUUCCGUCUGUUUUCCCUUCCGUCCUCGCUUGGCACUGUGGACCCCCGUUUAAGGGUGUUUUGAAAGAGCUGAAGGAAAGCUUGAUGGGUAUGUGUCUUUUUUUCAGCACCCACUCGAUCAGCUCUAGUGCUGCAUUAACAGUAAAGUGUAGUGCGUUAUGGGUUGGGGAAAACGAGUGCUUCCACUAGUGUGUUUCAUGCAGACGUCAGCAACUUAUAUCAAAGUAUACUUUUUUUUUAUUUCAGUAGUUUAAAGAGUUGUAAUAGGGAUGCAGAUGAGGUGUAGAAUGAGCCUGUUUUCAAAGACCUUGUUUUCUUUUGGCUCUCCACUUUUAGUGCCUGCCAACUUUGCUGCUAAUUCCCCAAAUCCACUAAUCCUGCCUUAUUUAAACCAUCUUGAUGGCAGCAGGCCACCGAAAAUAAAAAGCUUGGCAAUAUAAACGAUGCUCAGAUUCAUCAAUUGCAACGGUAUUGUCAUUCCAAGCGGGUAAGUUAACCUUUGAAGGAAUUGCUACUGACAGUUUCAGUUGUUUGUUUAAGUCCAGGCUAUUUUAAAAUGACUUCAAACCAUCUGUUAAUCUGAGUCUAUACAUAUUUCUAAACAGGUUUAGAGGAGUCCCAGCCACAAUCGUGUUUCAACAUGAAAACAACUCUCCUCCAGGUUUUCCCAGUAUCCUAAUGACAUCUCAACACUUUCCCCUCUCGGUCCGCGUUCCCGGCGCUCCUCCUCCUCUCCUGUCCUGGCUGGCGGCAGUACCUGGUCAACUGUCAGGCUGGAUCGAGUGUUGACCGCUGUCAGGCUGAGAGAUGCGCUCUGAUGGCCUGUCAGAAGGAGUGAUGAACACAAGGGCAGGCGGAGACAGGUGAAGUUCAACUCGUGUACCGACAGGUCAUUCAUGUCGAGAAGGAUCGUUCUCUUCAGGAUCGACAGCUUGCCUUUACAUUGUGACGUGAUGAUGCAAGACAUAAUGGAAAAUGAGGCAUCACCUCUUCAUUUCGUAUGAAACGCAUCAAAGACGCCUCGCAGAGCCCAGAGAAAUAUCUAGCAUGUUAUCCAGAGCUGUCGCGCGACUCAACCUCAGUGAUGUCAUGAGCUACAGCCAA
Molecule: non-coding RNA, 1796 nt
Organism: Pimephales promelas (fathead minnow)
Lineage: Eukaryota; Metazoa; Chordata; Actinopteri; Cypriniformes; Leuciscidae
Source: RefSeq, a predicted model, not a curated record